RNAcentral lists this microRNA precursor (154 nucleotides) under Amborella trichopoda. Its description in RNAcentral is "MIR8565 microRNA precursor family". It matches the Rfam family "MIR8565 microRNA precursor family". The record is from Rfam by way of RNAcentral. Lineage: Eukaryota; Viridiplantae; Streptophyta; Magnoliopsida; Amborellales; Amborellaceae.
CCCACACUUAUGUGUGUAGGAUCCCAAAAGAUCACCAUUAAAUUUGGCACAGAUCUCUAGAAAAAGCAUUAUAUGGGUGUGGGAGUUGAUUUUUUUAGAGAUCUGUGUCAAAUUUAAUAGUGAUCCUUUGGAGUCCUACACACAUGGGUGUGGG